This 72-nucleotide transfer RNA is filed under the name Bosmina fatalis. Its description in RNAcentral is "tRNA-Val". It matches the Rfam family "tRNA". From Rfam's summary of the family: Transfer RNA (tRNA) molecules are approximately 80 nucleotides in length. The record is from RNAcentral. Lineage: Eukaryota; Metazoa; Arthropoda; Branchiopoda; Diplostraca; Bosminidae.
UACUGUAGAGCUUGAUUAGUUAAGCAUUUCAUUUACAUUGAAAAAAUAAUUGUGCAAAUCAAUUUAUGGUAA